Non-coding RNA from Prunus mume (Japanese apricot), 673 nucleotides. The record is from RefSeq and is a predicted model, not a curated record. Lineage: Eukaryota; Viridiplantae; Streptophyta; Magnoliopsida; Rosales; Rosaceae.
UUCAAUUUUCAAGGGCGAUACAGACCACCUCGACUUCGAGCGGAAGACAUGGUUUAGGGAUGCAACUCAAAGCACCUGUUUGUUUAGAGGGAGUUUCUGCGGAGACUAUUUUUAGGGCAUUUGGGGACCGUAAAGACAUGUAUUCAGAGCCAAGCUAAUCUUUGUGCAAGUCAGAUACUAGUCCACACUUGCAAGCAAUGUGCCAUUUCCUCAUCUAAUGGUUAUGUUCUAUGAAGGCUUGAAAGAUUGAAUAGAGUAUGGGAAGCAAAAAUAGAUAUGCAAUCCAAAUUUCCAUAUUGGUAGUUCUGUUUGGGGGACACUCAUACUAGGAGGAUUGGCUAGUGGUGAUAUGUACCUUGCUUAUACUAUGUCUUUUAUGUCUUGUAUAGUUGGAUUCAGAAAUUUUUUGUAGGGUACAAUGGGUGGUUGGAUGCACAGGGGAUGUUCUGAAAGCAAAUCCAGCUUUAGCUCUUACCUUAAUGGCUGCACUACAGAAUUUCCCAGAAGGAUUGAGCAACACACGAGAAAUUUCAGUAGAGAAAAAGGGAUUACCUUUACGAAGGGGAUGCAUGAAAAACUUGUACUUAAUCUCUUUCCCAUCCGAUCUUGUCUGUUGGACAGAUUGGGGAAUUUUGUUGUAUCCAAUUAAAUAAUUUGAACGAGAUUUUAAUGA